RNAcentral lists this ribosomal RNA (519 nucleotides) under uncultured bacterium. RNAcentral describes it as "bacterial SSU rRNA". It matches the Rfam family "Bacterial small subunit ribosomal RNA", at positions 10 to 518 of the family's 1533-position model. The record is from RNAcentral.
AGUUUGAUUCUGGCUCAGGAUGAACGCUAGCGACAGGCUUAACACAUGCAAGUCGAGGGGCAGCAUAAAAGUAGCAAUACUUUGGUGGCGACCGGCGCACGGGUGAGUAACGCGUAUGCAACCUACCUAUCAGAGGGGAAUAGCCCGGCGAAAGUCGGACUAAUACCGCAUAAAACAGGGGCACCGCAUGGUGAUAUUUGUUAAAGAAAUUCGCUGAUAGAUGGGCAUGCGUUCCAUUAGGUAGUUGGUGAGGUAACGGCUCACCAAGCCGACGAUGGAUAGGGGAACUGAGAGGUUGGUCCCCCACACUGGUACUGAGACACGGACCAGACUCCUACGGGAGGCAGCAGUGAGGAAUAUUGGUCAAUGGGCGAGAGCCUGAACCAGCCAAGUCGCGUGGAAAAGGAAGAAGGAUCUAUGGUUCGUAAACUUCUUUUGCAGGGGAAUAAAGUGCAGGACGUGUCCUGUUUUGUAUGUACCCUGAGAAUAAGGAUCGGCUAACUCCGUGCCAGCCGCAGC